Molecule: non-coding RNA, 4375 nt
Organism: Sturnus vulgaris (Common starling)
Lineage: Eukaryota; Metazoa; Chordata; Aves; Passeriformes; Sturnidae
Source: RefSeq, a predicted model, not a curated record
GACGGGCGGCCCAGCCCGGCUGUCCCUCGUGUCCGGCCUGAGAAGGCGCUGAGGGUCACCAGUGCGGUCAAAACCAGCUCCCCUCGUCAGGCGCCGUGUAAACACGAGGUUUAUACACGAGGUUUAAACACGACCGGACCGUUAAAAAGUGAACGUGAGGAGAACUUCCCAGGCGAUGUGAAACACAGAUAGAACAUUUUGCUCCCUUUUGGUGUAGCUGGACACUCAGAUGACCUAGCACAAACUGAGAAAAAUUGAGAGAAGAUGGGAGGUAGCCGUCUGCACUCCUGAUUUUUCCUGCAUCUGCUAUGGACUGAACUCACAAUUGGAGCACCAAGCUAUUGCAAAUUAGAGUCUGAGUAGUAACUGCAACUUGAGAAGAAUGGAACCAUAAUUCAUCUGUAUUGUGAUGUCUCUAGAGUGUGGUAUUUCUCUGCUGUCUUGAUCCAAUUUCUCACAGAAGGAAUUUAUGCUUCACUUGAAUCUUGCCCGUUUUGCAAACCUGGAGGUGUGGUCCAGAGGAUUUGCCCACAGAGCAAACAGAGGUGAGGUGGGACAGAAGGCACCAGUCCUGAAAGGGACUAUAUCAAGAUACCAAACUGAAAUCUUCCAUAUUCUGAUGGGUGGCAAGGUAAGACAGAACACUUCUAGAGGAUGGUAUAAUUGAAAUGUAAAUGAAGAAAGAGUUUACUGGUGGAAAAAAAUCUCCAACAGAGAAAUUAUUUCCAGUCUUGAAAAUGAAACCUGUUUUCUGUAAUCUGCAAGUUAUACUGGGACAAAGAAUCCAUUCCAAAAAUACCCAUCAAUAUUUUGGACCAAUGCCAUCAUGAAGUCCUAAUCUGAUUAUUCAUUUUAUUUAGGAAUAUGACUGUACCAUCCAUAUACAUACUGAAUAUUUGUACUAAAUUCCUAUGCUAAGUGUUACUUGUAAGAGUUGGCCUGACUUACAGCAUGACUUACAAAGGAUAGGCUCCUACUUCCUAUUAAAGAUUCCUCUUUUCCCUUUUUUCUUUUAAAUUUUUUCCUCUUUUUAGGCAUUUUUGUUUGAGUUUUAUGCUAGUUAGUCUAUCACAUUAUGAUAUCUGGGGAACUUCAACCAUUGUCAAAAAUCUGAUAAGGAGACAAUAUCUGAGCAUUUAUUAUAAAAAGGGGUCUAAAGGUUUCUUAGGCAAACUGUAAUUUCCUGAUGGUAUUUGAAGUUUGACAUUAUAUUGGCAGAGUAUCAAGGAUGCUACUUCUGAAGGGGUUCACCUAAACAUAGCUCUGAACCCCAGGGGCCUGAGACAAGAUGUGGAAAACUAGGGAUGAACUGUAAACAUUUUGUUUAAAGUCAGUUGCACGGGAUCACACAGGAGCUUGGAGACAGGGGUAGAAUCAAAAUCUCCAGGAUGAAGUUUAACUGCUUCAUCUGCUUUAACCCUGGUUCCGUCUUUCUUUUCUCUCUUGUUUAUCACACACCUCAAAACUUUAGCAGUAAAUGAAGCAGGAAUAUUAGGAAAGAAGCUCCAUUCAUACAGGCAGUCUGUUUAGAGAAUGUCAUAGUUUGUCUGUACUUGAUACACAUGUUGCAGGAAGAAAACAGUACACGAUCAUACAAUUUCCGAUGCUGUGUACACAUCACAUCGAAAGGCUGAAAUAAUACUGUGUACAUACUUGUAAUGAUAACAUUUCUUAACUACUGAACACAAAACUUUCUAACCCCUGCUAGCCAUCUGUCAAAAUUCAGUAUUAAGCUCAUGAAACUAUGUCAAAUCACAAUACUGAUACUCUAGUGUUCUGAGUCAAAAAGUAUUUUUGUCAUGGAAGACGUGAAAUAAAAAUAGCUAAUUAUGUUUCCUUUGCCUCUUGCACUAAAAUAUUGAAGGUGAUUCAAAGCCUUUCCAGCACUUCAAUGUUGCUAAAUCCUUCCAGUCAUAAUGGUAGUAUGGUAGUUUUGGGGAAUGAAAAAAGGUUGUCUGCAAUGUAUCCAUCUUUUUUUCUUUUUGUACUAUAUCCUCAGUACCAAAUAUUUUCUAACCCUCUUCUGGAGAUUGCUACCACAGUUUGAUUUAUCCUAAACUUUCCCCAAAGCAUUAGCAGAUGUUCUUUAAGACAAAUAUGCUUCCAGGACUGUGUGAGCUCAGCAGAAAGAAUAUAUAUUAAAAGCAAUAGAUAUAGAUGUUACUUUGUAGUUCUACCACAGUUUCUGUAAGGGACACUAGAAGAUUUUAAACAUAAGCUAAGAAACAAAACUAUUCAACUCUUCAACUAUUCAACUAUUCAACUUUAGAGAUGAAGGGAAUAUGGUGUACUAAGUUUCAGCAACUCACUUAAAAAAAGUUAAAUGUUUUGGAUCUAUUUGGUAGUUCUAUUAUCAUCCUUUCUCCAAUAAGAAUACAUAUGUUUACAUUUAAGAGCUCUCUUUCUCUGUUGUCACUUCCAAUCUUUGUCCAUCAAAAUUGUUUUCUGUAACGUAGUAAAUGCUAGUCAGAGACCACACGUAGUGUUCUAUAUGCAUUCUGGAAUAUGUUUCAGCUUAUCUCAUAUAACACUUGAGAGUAUUUUUCCCAAGUGAAUCUCAAUGUUUUUGAGUUCUCUUAGUGUUUUACCAUUUGUUUUCCUUAUAUUACACCAGUCAAAAAUUAUUGCCUUGGAGAGUUACUUGUGAGCACAAUGGGAAAGUUUCUCUUUUUUCUUACCCGGUUUAACUGCUUUUGUCUUGAGCUCUAAUUGUUGAUGGGUUUUUACUUAUUUCAUCCUGGUACCUUACAACGAGUAUUUGUGCUUAGCUUGAUAUCAUAAAUUUGUUUUAACAAAUAAAAUGUCCCAGUCAGAGCUAAUAGUGAUUGGUGGCUCAGUAUCUUAAAAACAACAAAAAUUAUAUUAUAUGGCAGGGCAAAUCACAAAAUCUUUCAUGUCUAGUCUUGAAAGAUUACUGCUAAGACUUCCCUACUUUUAGAAAAAUUAUUUUCCUGCUAUUCACACUUUGCUUAAAUGGUGGCUUAAUAUAGAUGUGACAACCUAAGCUGAAUAUAGUACAGAGCAUUAAAGCAGGCUUUAAAUAAUAUGGUAUAAAGAUUCCUGAUCCAUCAUAACUUCUCUAUUCCCUUUUAUUUUUAUUUUUUAGUAAUUGCUUCAGACAUUACAAUACUAUUUGAUCUUCAUGUCAUGAGAAAGAAAAGAAGGCAGAAGAACUGACAGCUUGAUCCUUGCCUUCUUACAAAAGACCAACUUUUAGAUUUUGACCUCUUCUAGCGGUGGAUUCAACUACUCUAAUAGCAGAUGCUUAACAGGUCUUGUUUGAAUUUGAGCCUUAUUCUAACCCUCACGUCCAAAGAUCUAAUUAGAAUACCAGGUACUCUCGCUGCUUUUAUUAUAAACACUUUGUUGGGGACAUCUAAUACCCUUACUGUAUUUGUUCAUUUUGGUGAGGUACAAUUACAAAAAGAAGGUGUAGGCUUUGCUAUUGGUAUUACUUUAAAUCCUAGGAAUCUGGAGAAAAUAGGAAAUUAAAAUACUGUGUCCAAAAACUGGUUUCCUUUUUAAAGUAUUUUUCAUCCAUGCACUUCUACCCCUGGAUCAUAAGCCAAAUACUGCUCACAAUUGACAGUGCUAUCCAGAUAGAACUCUGAAUUUCCUUUGUUUAUUGGCUGCCCCACUUUCAGUUAGUUUGAUUUCACAUCCAAAGUGUUGGUCUUGACCUUGAACCAAUUUCUCCAAAUUUGUGGCCCCACCAGUGUGUGUAUGUGUGUAUUUGUAUAUGUGUAUGAAAUUAAUUAGAGGAAUUUAUUCAAUAUGUGUAUGGAUGGACAGGGAAAAUAAGGAAAAUAGUGAACAAUUGUCUAAAUGGCUCUUUUUGAACCCUCAAAGUAUUUUAACAUCAGUUUAAACUUAAAAUACUUAUCUUUCAACAUCGUUAACUUGUAUUUUUUGUGAGUUUAAACUAAUUAUGCAGAGCACGAGAGUCUUUCAGUAUAUUUGAUUUCAAGUAUGUAUUCUACUAUUAAAGUUAAUUGCACUUGUGUAAUUCACCCUACCAGUACUGUUAAGAAAUACCUCUGUUCAGAGUAGAGCUAGAGAUGAUGGGGAUGGGGCAUUGGCUCUAAGGAAGAAACAUAGGAAGCUAACAUUUUUUAAGCACUGCAAGAAACUCUGAAAUACUCACACAGAAAGAGUGGCUAUUCUUAGAAUAUGACACUGAGUCUGUAGCAGCUGAUAUUUUCUUUGUAAAAUUAUGGUGUAUGCACUGAAUAUUUUAAUUCUCUUGUUUGUGAUUUCUUGGUGUACCUGAAUAGCUUUCACGUGCAUGUAUCCUCUAUGACUUCUGUAAAUGAAUACACCGUGUACAAGCAAAAGCCAUUUUAUGUUGGAUACAUGUAAAUAAAAAAGGUUAUUA